This is a non-coding RNA of Oryza sativa Japonica Group (Japanese rice), 2070 nucleotides long. The record is from RefSeq and is a predicted model, not a curated record. Lineage: Eukaryota; Viridiplantae; Streptophyta; Magnoliopsida; Poales; Poaceae.
GUGUCUCAUCGGGUCUUGUUGCGUGACGUGGAAGGUUAGUUUAUCCCGCGGAGCACUGUUCGACCCCCUGUAUGCUACGACAAAGGGGGCUUUGAUUGGGAUAGCUUUGUGACCGACAGGUGGGUCCAGGAACUCUGUGGGCUCAAAUGUCAGGCAGGCGAUCUCAUCUGGGUUAGCCGCAGCGGGGUGUGUUUUCUUUUUAUACUUUUCUUUCUUUUUUUAGGAGCAUAUAAAAGGUUUCGUGCGGAGCGAAGCGUGGGAUAAUGCCGUGGUGGUGACGUGUCGCCGUCUGUUGUUUCUCUACCAUGCGUGCGAACACGUGCCGAUGUCUUGGAGCGGUCUCUGUUUGAGGUUAGGCCCGGCUCUUGCUAUGACAUCAUUCAUCAUCAUCAAUCAUUUUUCUCAAUUUCUAAUUUUUUUUAAACUCCUAAACCUUUGUGUUACAUAAUGGAUUUUCAUUAAUACGGCCUCUAUAUUCACGAAGGAUAUACACAACUAAAAAGAUACAAGAGCCCUUAGAUUCAAACCUCAUCAAAGAGAACAUUCAACCAAAAAGAAAAACCUAUGACCUCGGCACAUUCUUGCUUCCCGACAUCUUCUCCUGAAACAGUCAAAAUCGACGAGUGGAAGUUGUUUGGUCAUCACUGAUUGGUAAUAAAAACUUCCAAGAAUGUGCCACUCGUUCUUAAAUAAAACAUUGAUUAUGAGAAUUAGGGAGAUGCCAACUGAUUGGUGCAAACUUUGUGUGUGGAGAUGGUGCCUGUAAAAAGAUGGGGCUCACAAGCUAAAUUGAGAACCUUUCACAAGCUAAUUUGAGAACCUUUUCCUUUAGGAUAUCGUCUAAAUUGAGAACCUUUUCCUUUAGGAUAUCUUUAGGAUAUCGUCUAAAUUGAGAACCUUUUCCUUUAGGAUAUCGUGCUACAGAAUAUAUGUAUCACUUCUUUGUUUUGCUACAGAAGGUGGAGCAGUUUUUAUCUUCUUAGUUUUUGUUUAUAUGUAUUUAUAACAAUUAUUCUAUUCUAGAUCAAUUAUUUGUGUAGAUCAAUUAUUUACACCUCUUGCAUAGAAACCACCAAAUACAGCAUAUGGGAUUCUUUAUUGCCUCAUGAUUUUUGUUUAUCUAUGCCAACAUUUACAGACGCCCAAGCCCUCAAUGCUGGGCUCCGUGCAGACGUGAGCCGGCACAAUUGUCUGCUUCUCCAUGUGCUCCCCAGAUAGAUUGGGUAUCCACAUCAAGAAUAGUUUCUAACCAGUGAAGUCCUUAUUUACGGGAAAUUGUCAAGUAAUCUCUAUUGUACGUGUUCUUGAUCGAAGGAUAUAGUGGUGCAUGUGUAUUCAGUGGUAGUACUCUCAAACAAAAAUAUUGAGCAUUUGAUGUACAUCAGAAUUGUACUAAGAAGAACAAAAUUGUGUGCCAUAAUGAAUCCAAGAAUUUAAAUUUGAUUUAUUUGGAAAAAAAUUGCUUACAACAGUCUACGUAUAAAAUCUAAUUGUACUACCAUCAUUAUGGUUUUUUAAAUAAUAAAAAUGUUCUCCCUUGCAGUUUGGCAAGUUUAAUUUAAGCAAUUUGUCCAAUUUAAUUCAUAUACUGAUUUUUACGUGCAUUGCACGUGGACGAUUACUGGCAGGAAGAAAAGCCAGACCGGGCACCGAACCAGCCAAGCGCUUGGUUCAUCGGUCCAGUUGGACUUCUCAAGGUAUUUACAUUACUAGCUAUAUUUGUUUGUUUUACUUUGUUUGUUGUUCUGGGGGCUCAUUGUCAUCUCAAGUUCAUGCAGUUUUGUAACAUUGCUUUCUGGUCCCUGCGACAACGUGCGAGGACAAACUUGAUUUUUAUGUUUACUAGUGAGCGUGCACGUGCAAAGCACAUCUUGCACGUCGAUAUAUAUAUACUCUCUCAGGAAUUCAUCUUGGCUCUAGCUGCUGGGCGCGUGGCUCCAGCGACAAGUUGGAGGCGAUAGCAACGGUGAUUCACGACCCAUGGCGCAGCUCACCCUCUGCCUUUGAUCAUGAUCCAUCCUGUUCACAAAUAAUCGCACAAGUUAUAUAGCUACUAAUGCAAUGAACAAA